This 793-nucleotide ribosomal RNA is filed under the name uncultured bacterium. RNAcentral describes it as "bacterial SSU rRNA". It matches the Rfam family "Bacterial small subunit ribosomal RNA", at positions 8 to 798 of the family's 1533-position model. The record is from RNAcentral.
AGAGUUUGAUCAUGGCUCAGAUUGAACGCUGGCGGCAUGCCUUACACAUGCAAGUCGAACGGUAACGCGGGGCAACCUGGCGACGAGUGGCGAACGGGUGAGUAAUGCCUAGGAAUCUGCCUGGUAGUGGGGGAUAACGUCCGGAAACGGGCGCUAAUACCGCAUACGUCCUGAGGGAGAAAGUGGGGGAUCUUCGGACCUCACGCUAUCAGAUGAGCCUAGGUCGGAUUAGCUAGUUGGUGGGGUAAAGGCCUACCAAGGCGACGAUCCGUAACUGGUCUGAGAGGAUGAUCAGUCACACUGGAACUGAGACACGGUCCAGACUCCUACGGGAGGCAGCAGUGGGGAAUAUUGGACAAUGGGCGAAAGCCUGAUCCAGCCAUGCCGCGUGUGUGAAGAAGGUCUUCGGAUUGUAAAGCACUUUAAGUUGGGAGGAAGGGCAGUAAGUUAAUACCUUGCUGUUUUGACGUUACCAACAGAAUAAGCACCGGCUAACUUCGUGCCAGCAGCCGCGGUAGUACGAAGGGUGCAAGCGUUAAUCGGAAUUACUGGGCGUAAAGCGCGCGUAGGUGGUUCAGCAAGUUGGAUGUGAAAUCCCCGGGCUCAACCUGGGAACUGCAUCCAAAACUACUGAGCUAGAGUACGGUAGAGGGUGGUGGAAUUUCCUGUGUAGCGGUGAAAUGCGUAGAUAUAGGAAGGAACACCAGUGGCGAAGGCGACCACCUGGACUGAUACUGACACUGAGGUGCGAAAGCGUGGGGAGCAAACAGGAUUAGAUACCCCGGUAGUCCAA